Molecule: ribosomal RNA, 279 nt
Filed under: uncultured bacterium
Lineage: Bacteria
Description: partial 16S ribosomal RNA
Rfam family: Bacterial small subunit ribosomal RNA
Source: RNAcentral
UGCCAGCAGCCGCGGUAAUACGGAGGGUGCAAGCGUUGUCCGGAUUUACUGGGUUUAAAGGGUACGUAGGCGGCUUUUUAAGUCAGUGGUGAAAUGUGUCGGCUCAACCGGCAACGUGCCAUUGAUACUGAUUAGCUAGAGUGUUGUAUAGGUGGGCGGAAUUGAUGGUGUAGCGGUGAAAUGCAUAGAUACCAUCAAGAACACCGAUUGCGAAGGCAGCUCACUGGGCAACAACUGACGCUGAGGUACGAAAGCGUGGGGAGCGAACAGGAUUAGAUA